UACGGAGGGUGCAAGCGUUAAUCGGAAUUACUGGGCGUAAAGCGCACGUAGGCGGCUUUGUAAGUUAGAGGUGAAAGCCCGGGGCUCAACCCCGGAAUUGCCUUUAAGACUACAUCGCUUGAAUCCAGGAGAGGUGAGUGGAAUUCCGAGUGUAGAGGUGAAAUUCGUAGAUAUUCGGAAGAACACCAGUGGCGAAGGCGGCUCACUGGACUGGUAUUGACGCUGAGGUGCGAAAGCGUGGGGAGCAAACAGG
RNAcentral lists this ribosomal RNA (253 nucleotides) under uncultured bacterium. Its description in RNAcentral is "partial 16S ribosomal RNA". It matches the Rfam family "Bacterial small subunit ribosomal RNA", at positions 524 to 776 of the family's 1533-position model. The record is from RNAcentral.